GAUGAACGCUAGCGGGAGGCCUAACACAUGCAAGCCGAGCGGUAGAGUUUCUUCGGAAACUUGAGAGCGGCGCACGGGUGCGUAACACGUGUGCAACCUACCUUUAUCUGGGGGAUAGCCUUUCGAAAGGAAGAUUAAUACCCCAUAAUAUAAUGAUUGGCAUCAAUUAUUAUUGAAAACUCCGGUGGAUAGAGAUGGGCACGCGCAAGAUUAGAUAGUUGGUGAGGUAACGGCUCACCUAGUCAAUGAUCUUUAGGGGUCCUGAGAGGGAGAUCCCCCACACUGGUACUGAGACACGGACCAGACUCCUACGGGAGGCAGCAGUGAGGAAUAUUGAACAAUGGGUGAGAGCCUGAUCCAGCCAUCCCGCGUGAAGGAUGACGGUCCUAUGGAUUGUAAACUUCUUUUGUACAGGGAUAAACCUACCCUCGUGAGGGUAGCUGAAGGUACUGUACGAAUAAGCACCGGCUAACUCCGUG
This 479-nucleotide ribosomal RNA is filed under the name uncultured bacterium. RNAcentral describes it as "partial 16S ribosomal RNA". It matches the Rfam family "Bacterial small subunit ribosomal RNA", at positions 28 to 507 of the family's 1533-position model. The record is from RNAcentral.